UACGGCGUGGGGCGGCCGUUCCACAGGCCGGCGCCGAAGACGACGGCGACGUCCUGGGCGGGGACGUCGGCGGUGGUGCGCAGCCGGCCGUCGGCG
RNAcentral lists this transfer RNA (96 nucleotides) under Streptomyces lateritius. RNAcentral's name for it is "tRNA-Phe(gaa)". The record is from RNAcentral. Lineage: Bacteria; Bacillati; Actinomycetota; Actinomycetes; Kitasatosporales; Streptomycetaceae.